This 356-nucleotide ribosomal RNA is filed under the name uncultured bacterium. Its description in RNAcentral is "bacterial SSU rRNA". It matches the Rfam family "Bacterial small subunit ribosomal RNA", at positions 28 to 366 of the family's 1533-position model. The record is from RNAcentral.
GAUGAACGCUGGCGGCGUGCUUAACACAUGCAAGUCGAACGAAGCGCCUUGGACAGAUUCUUCGGAUGAAGUUUUUGGUGACUGAGUGGCGGACGGGUGAGUAACGCGUGGGUAACCUGCCUCAUACAGGGGGAUAACAGUUAGAAAUGACUGCUAAUACCGCAUAAGACCACAGUACCGCAUGGUACAGGGGUAAAAACUCCGGUGGUAUGAGAUGGACCCGCGUCUGAUUAGCUGGUUGGUGGGGUAACGGCCUACCAAGGCGACGAUCAGUAGCCGGCCUGAGAGGGCGACCGGCCACAUUGGGACUGAGACACGGGCCCAAACUCCUACGGGAGCAGCAGUGGGGAAUAUUG